Molecule: ribosomal RNA, 484 nt
Filed under: uncultured bacterium
Lineage: Bacteria
Description: partial 16S ribosomal RNA
Rfam family: Bacterial small subunit ribosomal RNA
Source: RNAcentral
AUUGAACGCUGGCGGCAGGCCUAACACAUGCAAGUCGAGCGGAUGAAGGGAGCUUGCUCCUGGAUUCAGCGGCGGACGGGUGAGUAAUGCCUAGGAAUCUGCCUGGUAGCGGGGGAUAACGUCCGGAAACGGGCGCUAAUACCGCAAUCGCCCUGAGGGCGAAAGGGUGGGAUCUUCGGACCUUCCGCUAUCAGAUGAGCCUAGGUCGGAUUAGCUAGUUGGUGGGGUAAAGGCCUACCAAGGCGACGAUCCGUAACUGGUCUGAGAGGAUGAUCAGUCACACUGGAACUGAGACACGGUCCAGACUCCUACGGGAGGCAGCAGUGGGGAAUAUUGGACAAUGGGCGAAAGCCUGAUCCAGCCAUGCCGCGUGUGUGAAGAAGGUCUUCGGAUUGUAAAGCACUUUAAGUUGGGAGGAAGGGCAGUAAGUUAAUACCUUGCUGUUUUGACGGUACCAACAGAAUAAGCACCGGCUAACUUCGUG